This 89-nucleotide non-coding RNA is filed under the name Paracoccaceae bacterium. RNAcentral describes it as "Rhodobacteraceae bacterium Glycine sequence". It matches the Rfam family "Glycine riboswitch aptamer". Rfam says of the family: This family represents the bacterial glycine riboswitch. Glycine riboswitches usually consist of two metabolite-binding aptamers domains with similar structures in tandem. Lineage: Bacteria; Pseudomonadati; Pseudomonadota; Alphaproteobacteria; Rhodobacterales; Paracoccaceae. The record is from RNAcentral.
AACACCGAGCCGGGAGAACCGUCAUGCAGACGGUGCCGAAGGAGCAACCGCCCCGGAAACUCUCAGGCCAAAGGGACCGGCCGGUGACA